Long non-coding RNA from Anolis carolinensis (green anole), 1879 nucleotides. Lineage: Eukaryota; Metazoa; Chordata; Lepidosauria; Squamata; Anolidae. The record is from Ensembl.
AUGAGAGGCCAAAAGUGGGUCCCUUUUUCCCCAAAAAGGAUUUUUGGAGUUCUGGCAAGGAAUAAUGGGAGCUGCAGUUGUUUUUGGCAAAGUUGGCUUUUGAAACACACAGAAAGCGACCCUUUCACGGAGAGACUGCCCUAUUUGAGCAACACAGAAAGCGACCCUUUCACGGAGAGACUGCCCUAUUUGAGCAAUGAGAGGCCAAAAGUGGGUCCCUUUUUCCCCAAAAAGGAUUUUUGGAGUUCUGCCAAGGAAUAAUGGGAGCUGCAGUUGUUUUUGGCAAAGUUGGCUUUUGAAACACACAGAAAGCGACCCUUUUACGGAGAGACUGCCCUAUUUGAGCAAUGAGAGGCCAAAAGUGGGUCCCUUUUUCCCCAAAAAGGAUUUUUGGAGUUCUACCAAGGAAUAAUGGGAGCUGCAGUUGUUUUUGGCAAAGUUGGCUUUUGAAACACUCAGAAAGCGACCCUUUCACGGAGAGACCGCCCUAUUUGAGCAAUGAGAGGCCAAAAUUGGGUCCCUUUUUCCCCAAAAAGGAUUUUUGGAGUUCUACCAAGGAAUAAUGGGAGCUGCAGUUGUUUUUGGCAAAGUUGGCUUUUGAAACACACAGAAAGCGACCCUUUCAUGGAGAGACCGCCCUAUUUGAGCAAUGAGAGGCCAAAAGUGGGUCCCUUUUUUCCCAAAAAGGAGUUUUUGAGUUCUACCAAGCACUAAUGGGAGCUGCAGUUGUUUUUGGCAAAGUUGGCUUUUUAUUCAGAGACCCUGGCACGGAGAAAAACAGCCCUGCAUGAGGCAAGGGCCAAAUCACCAUUGCUGGCCGUGUGGGAAAAUUGCAAACGCCAAUUUCGUGAGGAAAAAAACACCCACAGGCCCUUUGCAAAAAAUUAUAAAACCAACACCCAACACCCAACAGUUUACCCACACCUCCAAAACUCACCCACCCAAAAUUUUCUCCCGGUCUUCAGCCUAGCUCAGCACUAGAAAACAGCCAAGGAGGCUGUGACGCAGCAAAAUUAACUGCCUGCCUGCCUACCCAAACUCCCUCCCACCCUCUUCAGAAGCCCGGUGCGAAUGAGCCACGAGGCUGAGUGCAGCCUCUUUUCAUUCAGGACGUCCUACCAGCCCCUCCCCCUGGUUUAACGUGCUCUCUGAUUGGCCACAAGGUGCCAACAACACGCUAGGUUGCCCCAGUGCUAUUAAACAAGUUUGGGUGAUUUGCAAAAGCAUUUUUUAAAAACGAAAAAAAAGGCGCCAUAACGGAAAACGGCCAAUCGCGGUUCGAAGCCGCGAUAUCCAGGCGUGUGGACAACCAAGGUUCAAUAUUGCUUCAAAACUAACGAAAAUAACGAAUCAAUAACGGUAAACGGGGAAAACGAAUUAUUUGAGCAAGCCUAAUACAUACAUAUAUAUAUAUAUAUAUAUAUAUAUAUGCAAGCAAACAGCGGAAAGAGUCAAUAGAUUCAGUAGUCCAUAAUAUAAUGUCCACAAUAGUUCAAAAAGAUAGUUCUUCAAAGUCUUUCAAAGUUAUAAUCCACAAACAGAACUCAAAGAGUUCCAACGAAGAGUCAAUGUCAGUAAGCAGCCAGGAGUUGCAGGAAUCAGGGACAAGACGCAGCAAAACAACAACUGUAAUCCACCUGGAAGGUAUUCCUUGGAAAGCAGGGAAACCGGAGUAACAAGGCGAGGUCUACCCAUGAGUAACAAGGCACGAACUCCAACUGGGUAUCCUGGAAACAGCACGGGAACAAGGCAAGGAUCAAGAGACAGGAACGGAGAUGCUUCUCCCAAGAAUGGCAAUGUUGACACCGCAAUGUAAACAAGGAGCGAGGUCCCUUUAAGGAAACAUCAAGGCUACCACUCAAUAAGAUCCAGGGCAAUC